This 2791-nucleotide long non-coding RNA is filed under the name Phocoena sinus (vaquita). RNAcentral's name for it is "lncRNA (ENSPSNG00000015904.1)". The record is from RNAcentral. Lineage: Eukaryota; Metazoa; Chordata; Mammalia; Artiodactyla; Phocoenidae.
GGGUGGAUUUUAUGAAAACCUCUGGAAAAUUAAUUUGCUUAUUUUAUGGUUAUCCUCGGGUUGUAUUUUAAACAUUAGGGUUAAUUUUUCUUUUUGUCUUUUUCUAUCUCACUUUUAAACUCCCACAUAGUCUUAAGAAUCCUACAAAACUUCCCACCCUCAUCCCCAGUUGGAAGGUGAAUAAAAGAAGUUGUAUAAUGGUCGUAUUCUCUGUUUAAGUGGGAAGUCUUCUGAGAUUAGCCUUCAUUUUAUAUCCUCAUUUUGUCUCUCCAGCAUCUUCAAGAAUGUGAAUUUGCUUUUUUAAUGGAUCUGCCUUUUUCAAGGUAAUUUGGUUUAACCUUCUCAAGCAUAGCUCAGCUUCACUGUAAUUGUUUUAUAGAUUUUGCAUCUUAAAGCUAGUAACUGAUAUUGCUAUAGUCUUAUCUGUGAAAACAAAUACAAAAUGGUAAGGAGACAUUAAAUAUUCUGCUUCAUAUUUUCUGCUUUAUAUUCUCCUUUUACCUAAUAGGGAAGAACUUUUUAAAGUUUUAAAUUUGACUUAAAUUUUAAAAGGUUCUGAAUUUGGGGUUCCAUAUCAACUAGGUAUCUGUUUACUCUGCAAAAAUAAUGCUAUGAAAUUACCUUGAAAUAACAGUUGGAUAAUAGAGUAUCGCCAAAAACAGGUGUAUUUAGGAAUCCCCAAAUUAUAACUAGAACUGAAACAGACUGGCAAAUUGAGGGUAAUUAAAAAUUAGCUUAUUUGGAUGCUGAACAAUGGAAUUGAACUUUAUCAGUCUUAUUAAUUUGGAAAAUUGGAGAACAUCUGAAGAGAGAACUCAUUCAUAUUGGUUUAUUACUCUAAGAAGAAAGUAAAGCUAUAUAUUCAUUCAGUGCAAUCAUUUGGUAAUAGGGAAGGAUGGGAGCUAAUAUUUCAUUUACAAUACAUAGUUUAUAAUGUACACUUGCUUUCAAAUAUCAUGCUGAAAUUAUGUUUAUGCUCUUCCUAUAAUGUAUACAAACAAAGAGGUUGCCAUAUAUUCAUUUAAUUAUUUAAAAAACCCAUUUAAGUAAACUCUGUUGUCAGUGGCUACUAAGGACCCUGAUUGAGUCCCUGGACUCGGAUGAACAUAUAUCCUUGAGCGUAUAGAACGAAGAAAUACAGUGGAUCUUUAUUAAAAAAUAAGUUGGAUAAUAAAAAUUGAGCUAAAAUUACUUACGCAUUUUCAUAUAAAUUCUUUCAAAUAGUCUUAAUUCUACACUUAUAAGUAAAUUAAUAAGCAUGUUGGAAAAACAUUCACAGCACCAUUGUUAUUACUUUUUUAUGAUAUGAAACUUUACGGGAAUUCUUCUGGCUUAGAAUAUUUGUUCACUCAUCUCCCAGUUGGGUGCACUGAAGGCCUAUCCCUGUCUUGUCCCCCCACCCCCAUAUUCAUAAAAAAUUGUGGGGACAACAAAUAUAACCAUAUGUAUUUGAGUGAUUUUCUAUUUUUCAUCUAGCUAAUCUCACUUCCUAGGCCCCAAAUAAUUAGGCUAUUAUAUUUAGAAAUGAAACAAUAUUUUGCUAUUAAUCUCACCAGUAAGGUGUUUUGGAAACAAAAAUUAAACGGUUUUCUGUUUCUUUUAAUUAAAAAGUCAUCUUCUGAGUGCUUACUGGUUCGACAUUUUAGAUGUCUGCUGGUACUAUUUGUCAGUGAUUUAGAGCUGGCACAUAUGGAGUCCCAGCUCUCAGCUCUAAUGCAAAGCCUAUUGGCAUCACCUGUUAGUAAAUUCUAAACCCAAGCACAGAAACGUGAGUUAAAAUCAAGUCUUGCUGGGUUAGUGUAUACUAAACUACACCUACACCUACAGAAUUUUUAGUAGAAAGAAGACAAAGCUGCUGGUAUAGGAUUUGUUUAUUUUGAAGAGGGAAACAAACACAACAACCUCAAUGCAGUGUGUAAUUUUGUUCAACUACCUCUUAAUGUGGAAUUAGCUAGUUUAAUAGUUUCUUCACAGUAGUGUUACAUAGUAACUGCCAAAUUUGUUAGUUCCCCAUCUCUCUUGAAGAGGCUUUAUGAUUAUUUUAUAGUUUUGGGAACUUUAAAGCCACUUUUUUUUAACCUUGCAUUUGCAUAAAGAUGUUUAGCUUUUAAGUGGAAAGCAAAUUAUGAUCAUAUAUUUUGAUAUUCAUGACCUAUUUGACUAUAGCAGUUUUUUUUAAAUGCACUUUGGCUAUGAAACCAUGGAUGAUUUGAUCCAUAAAAUUUAAAUGUGCCAUCAAUUUAGUAUUCCUAGACAAGAGCUUGAUGAAUGGUAUUCUGUAAUUAUAUAAUGUACCACACGUUAUUGUCUUAAUUGCCCUUUGCCUGAAUUUUAAUGAUCAGUUAUUGUUGCAAAUGUGAAUACUGUGCAUAAACUUACUAAAUUUAUGUAAAAUUGUAUAAAGCAGAAUUGGAAAUAGCUAGGUCCUCUCCCUGUAGAAAUAGUGAAUUUACUGUAACAUGAUGCAGUUAUGUAUAUGACAUUCUGUACUUCUUGAACUGGAUCAUAUAUUCAUAAAACUUCUGUAGAUACUUUUGCAUGAAUAUUUUGUUUAGUUUUUGGAUUCAUUGUAUUGUUUACUUGUGAUCAUGUAGUUGUGCCUUAUUUGUGAGAGAGUUUAGCUCAGUAAAUACUGUGGUUUCUAAACUCAGUGAGUGGAAGGUUAUUGAUUAUAAAUGUAACUGAUAAAUUAUAUAACAUUUGAAUCUGUAUAAAGAACAAUGGAAGAAUCCUUUAUUGAAUUGUUGCUUUUUUAAAAAAAUAUGCUAAAGAUAUUAAAAAUAAUUUCUAG